CGUAGGCGGUUUGGUAAGUUAGAUGUGAAAUCUCAAGGCUUAACCUUGAAACUGCAUUUAAUACUGCUGGACUAGAGUACGAAAGAGGGAGAUGGAAUUCUCGGUGUAAGAGUGAAAUCUGCAGAUAUCGAGAGGAACACCUGUAGCGAAGGCGAUCUCCUAGGUCGAUACUGACGCUGAAGUGCGAAAGCGUAGGGGAGCGAACG
This 206-nucleotide ribosomal RNA is filed under the name uncultured bacterium. Its description in RNAcentral is "partial 16S ribosomal RNA". It matches the Rfam family "Bacterial small subunit ribosomal RNA", at positions 570 to 774 of the family's 1533-position model. The record is from RNAcentral.